GACAGGCAAUAUAUUAGCAUAAAGACUCGUCUUUAGCGCUAUUGUUAAAUAUGCUAGUCCUUUCAUGAUUAUGUGAUAGGUGGUGCAUGGCCGUUCUUAGUUCGUGGAGUGAUCUGUCUGCUUAAUUGCGUUUCACUAAGGGCCCAUAAAUUCAAGGUAUGUUAGCAAAUGCUGCUCUAUUGACCCCUAAUAGGCUUAACUGUCUUUAGCGCGUGUCUCUACGAGUUCUUUAAAGCACUGCGCAUGCUGUUGGGUCCUGAAAGCAACGAACGUGACCGCAACGUCUUGUUGCCUCUCUAUAAUACCUUCUUAUUUUUAAUAAGAGUAUUUACCUGAGGCUAUUUUAAAACUAGACGGACCGCUGUUUCUUUCUUAAACCAGAGGAAGGUUGCGGCAAUAACAGGUCUGUGAUGCCCUUAGAUGUUCCG
This 428-nucleotide ribosomal RNA is filed under the name Globorotalia inflata. RNAcentral describes it as "bacterial SSU rRNA". It matches the Rfam family "Eukaryotic small subunit ribosomal RNA", at positions 1242 to 1484 of the family's 1831-position model. The record is from RNAcentral. Lineage: Eukaryota; Foraminifera; Rotaliida; Globorotaliidae.